AACGCGAAGAACCUUACCUGGGCUCGAAAUGUUAUGGACCGGGGUAGAAAUAUCCCCUCCCAGCAAUGGGCCGUAAUAUAGGUGCUGCAUGGCUGUCGUCAGCUCGUGUCGUGAGAUGUUGGGUUAAGUCCCGCAACGAGCGCAACCCUUAUCUUCAGUUGCUACCAUUUAGUUGAGCACUCUGACGAAACCGCCUCGGAUAACGGGGAGGAAGGUGGGGAUGACGUCAAGUCCUCAUGGCCUUUAUGUCCAGGGCUACACACGUGCUACAAUGGCCGGUACAAACCGUCGCAAACCCGCGAGGGGGAGCUAAUCGGAAAAAGCCGUCCUCAGUUCGGAUCGCAGUCUGCAACUCGACUGCGUGAAGCUGGAAUCGCUAGUAAUGGUGUAUCAGAAUGAUACCGUGAAUACGUUCCCGGGCCUUGUACACACCGGCUAC
Molecule: ribosomal RNA, 439 nt
Filed under: uncultured bacterium
Lineage: Bacteria
Description: bacterial SSU rRNA
Rfam family: Bacterial small subunit ribosomal RNA
Source: RNAcentral